This 55-nucleotide non-coding RNA is filed under the name Schistosoma mansoni. The record is from RNAcentral. Lineage: Eukaryota; Metazoa; Platyhelminthes; Trematoda; Strigeidida; Schistosomatidae.
AUCCAGCUGACGAGUCCCAAAUUGGACGAAACGUGAAACGUGCCUUGUCCUGGAU